This 83-nucleotide small RNA is filed under the name Marmota monax (woodchuck). Lineage: Eukaryota; Metazoa; Chordata; Mammalia; Rodentia; Sciuridae. The record is from RNAcentral.
GCCAGGCAUGGUAGCUCAUGCCUGUAAUCCCAACAACUAGGGAGGCUGAGGCAAGAGGAUCACAAGCUGAAGACCAGCCUCAG